Molecule: long non-coding RNA, 320 nt
Filed under: Salmo salar (Atlantic salmon)
Lineage: Eukaryota; Metazoa; Chordata; Actinopteri; Salmoniformes; Salmonidae
Description: lncRNA (ENSSSAG00000082750.1, ENSSSAG00020074110.1, ENSSSAG00075024416.1)
Source: RNAcentral
GCAUGGGCUAUGCUGGAGGAGAGCGGCAAGCGGCAGAGGCGGUGAAACUGCCGAGAGUGUUGAAGCAAUGGGAUAGCGAAGGGAUAGCGUAAGACAUCCGCACCACGCUCCUCUCUUCAAGGACUACUCUACACAAAAUAUUUAGCAUUUCUAUCCAGUGGUGCAAAAGAGUUAAAAGGACGCAAGGAACUGGUGAUGGCUCCGAGCCUAUGAGGACGGCUCUAUUUCGGACACAUAUGUCGGUGCUGAUACUGUAAGCCCAUGGAUGUGGAACAAAAAACAGGACCCACAGGGAAACUCACCCAUUGGUCGUAUCCAAC